GAUGAACGCUGGCGGCGUGCCUAACACAUGCAAGUCGAACGAAACUUCUUUAUCACCGUGUGCUUGCACUCAGCGAUACAGGGUUGAGUGGCGAACGGGUCCGUAACUCGUCUUUAAUCUGCCCAAAAGAAGGGGAUAAUACUUGCAUACAGGAGCUAAUACUGCAUAACCAUAGUUACAGCAUGGUAACUAUGUAAAAGGUGGCUAUAGUUCUGCUUUUGGAUGGGCCGGCGGCGCAUUAGCUAGUUGGUAGGGUAAAGGCCUACCGAGGCAAGGACGCGUAGCCGAAUGGAGAGGUUGAUCGGCCACAUUGGAACUGAGACACGGCCCAAACUCCUACGAGAGGCAGCAGUAGGGAAUCGUCGACAAUGGGCGCAAGCCUGAUGGAGCGAGGCCGCGUGGGUGAAGAAGGCCUUCGGAUCGUAAAGCCCUGUUGUUGGGGAAGAAAGGGCGUGGGAGGAACUGAUGACGUUGUGACGGUAACUAACCAAAAAGCACCGGCUAACUACGUG
This 512-nucleotide ribosomal RNA is filed under the name uncultured bacterium. Its description in RNAcentral is "partial 16S ribosomal RNA". It matches the Rfam family "Bacterial small subunit ribosomal RNA", at positions 28 to 507 of the family's 1533-position model. The record is from RNAcentral.